UGUAAAAAAUUUCCGGGAUUUCACAAGAUGUAACUGUGAUAUUUCACAGUAAAUUACAUUAUUAGCAUGUCACAGGCUUUAGCUGUGACAUUUCACAAUAUAGUACAGUAUUCAGACUUUUAUUGUGAAAAUAAUGCCAUCGGCGAAAUCACAGGGAACGGCUGUAAGUUCCGACGCGCGCUAUCUGUUUGGGUUCUCUCAUCUCUGCGGUCUCAUCCAACGGAUUCUGUGGUAAGUGUUAAAAUGUCAAAUUUUGUCAAAUAAAUGAUUGAUUUAUUUUCAAAAUAUAUGUCAUAGUGCAUGGAGUAUUAUCCAAAUGUCGUUAUUUGUAGGUUUCGCGUGGGUUGAACCGCUGAAUUUAAAAAUAAAGCAAUGAACAGAUGUUGGUAGUGUUACUGUGAGACCUUUUAGGAGCUUUAUUAAAAAUAAAACAUUAUUUGUUAACUUGAGCUUUUCUUAGUGCUAAGCUAACAGCUUUCUCUCUUUUCUUCCUACACAGCAUCUUUCUGCGGUAUCCACUGGGGAGUAAAGUUAUGAGGUAUUUUUUCCACACUUCACAAGGAUGGGGACAUCACUCAGAAGAGUGAAGUUUCGAGAAGCCCUGGAUAACAACUACAAUAACAUUCUGAAGUUCGUCCAAGAAAUCAACUAUCAUCAACGGGGUGCUUCUUGGGCAUUAAUUCGGAGACAGACAGGCAGAAAGGACAGAAACAACAAGCUGCAAGUCUGUACACUGAUUAGAAAACUUAUGACUUGAAUGGAUGUCAGUCUAGUGUGUCACAAAUACUAGUUCUUUGUUUAGCUAGAGGCGAUUGUACACUUUGUACUCUUACAAUGUUCUAUAUCAGGAGUCUCCAACGUGGUGCCCAUGGGCAGCAGGUAGCCCGCACAGAUGAGGUGCCCACCAAAUCACAUUCCAUUAAUAGUCUAAAUUGUAAUAUUUGUUGAUUACAUAUUUUUUAUAUUGACUUGGCUUGGUUUACAUAUGUUACAAUUUUAAACAAUACAAAAACAUAUCAAAAAGUACAAUGAAAUAAAAUCAACAAGUAAAACAAAAAAAGUUUUGAGUAGACUAUAUCAAAAGUUAGCCCUCCAGAAUGUUUUAUCCAUUGUGGUAGUCCUUGCUCACAAAAAGGUUGGAGACCCCUGUUCUAUAUUGUGUCUGUUACAUAAAGAUACAUGAAGAAAUUAGUGAAUGUCAGUCUACAUUGUAAAAAUAAAAUAUUUGUUGCACUUAUUUUUUAAGU
Non-coding RNA from Misgurnus anguillicaudatus (oriental weatherfish), 1247 nucleotides. The record is from RefSeq and is a predicted model, not a curated record. NCBI's taxonomy places the organism in Eukaryota, Metazoa, Chordata, Actinopteri, Cypriniformes, Cobitidae.